Varroa destructor (honeybee mite) is the source of this 3184-nucleotide non-coding RNA. Lineage: Eukaryota; Metazoa; Arthropoda; Arachnida; Mesostigmata; Varroidae. The record is from RefSeq and is a predicted model, not a curated record.
AUAAUUCAACAUCAGCCUAUAAUCAAUCAUUCAUUAAAAUCUGAGGUAGUACAAUGGAUCGUGGUUUUGUUUUGGUAAAGGGCAAGCCAUUGAAGAUUAAUGCAGUACAAAACGAUAAACAGACGUGCCAUAUAAACAGGUUAAUGGCUGGGUAACGUAUUUAUAUGGCGGGCUUCGUACUACUGUUUACAGCUCGGAAGACCAAUUAUAGACGGUUAUCUGCGUCUCGUUAAGCAAUGCUUCAAACUUUGUGUCACUACUUGCUCGAAUAGUUCUACUCCCCCAGAUAACAACGAAGUGUAUGUAUUUGUUACUAGGUGGCUAUUGUAUCAAAAUUUUUUUUCAACUAUGGAUAUCCAACGACGCAGCUAAAUGUAUAGUUGCUUGGUAAACGAAUAUGACUACCGGAACAGUCGAAGCAGCAGAGAAAAAACCUAAGGGAAAACGAAUUGACAAGUGGGCAAGACAAGCGAAAAAAGAGAUUACUAAGAUACGCUCCAGACAUUGUUCGACCCAAAUUAAAGAUAAAUCACCCGCAGGUUUGACUGAGCAGGCAAUGUGGGUUUUUACAAGCAUGUCACAGAUAACGGACAGCCUAUUUCUUUGCGGUCUCCGUGGUCUAAGCGUGGAUAACUUGAAAAGAAAUGGAAUCACCUUAGUUAUCAAUGUGACACAUGACUUAAUUAAUGAAAUUGUGCCGGGCAUUAAAUACAAACGUUAUGAGGUUGCCGAUGAGCCAAACCAAGAUAUUAAGCAGUACUUCCAUCCGGCAGCAGAUUCCAUCAACGAGGAAAUUCGGACUGGAGGAAAGGUUGCGGUGCAUUGCUUGGCCGGUGUUUCGCGCAGUUGUUCAAUAGUGUUAGCUUACCUGGUUAAAUAUCACGGCAUGACGCUUCACGACGCGUUUAUGUUUGUUCGCAAACGUCGUUCCGUUGUACGGCCAAAUUACGGAUUUUUUCAGCAACUGAUCGCCUUUGAAAAAGAGGUCCACUCGUCACGUGAACCGUCGGUUAAAAUGAUCAAGUUAGGCGACGCCCCAGGGGACCUCAUUCCAGACAUUUAUGAAGAAGAAUGCAAAGGCUUUCUCUGGUUACGCUCAGUUAAGGACAGAUUGAAAGACGACAAGAAAUAAGAAGGCCGGUACAGCAUAGCUCUAAUCGGGUUAAAAACAGCGGUCCUUGUACUCUCAACAUAAGCAUACUUCUCAGCCUCUCAUAAGUUAAUAUGGACCGAUAGGUCAUAACCACACAUUUCGAGAUACAACUGCCGUGAUAUUUGCAGCGUCUACGAAUCGACCAUUCUACCGAUGUACUGCGUGGGGUGAAGUACUUUAAUUCUCGCCUUGCCUGAAAACUCCUUCAAAUUAUAGAAGCCACCAUACAUCGUUGCCUUUUACAGAAUCAAGGCGAAAUCUGCGCAAUAAGCAUCUGAUGGUUACAUCGAUAGCUAUUUAAACAAAUACGGAUUUUCCUUAAGUACUUUAUCAGCAUUAUUAGCUCCUACCCGUUCCAAUGAGCUCAUCUGUACGUUCAAUGGCUUUAGUUGAAGGCCUAUGCCUCGUCAGCAGCCAGCAUUCUACGACGCGUAUUAUAUCAGCGGUGCUUCGUUUACAGAAAAAAAAAGCUUCAACGACUGUGUUGGUGUGGAAAGAAAUCAAUUUAUCAGACCACACAACGAUGAUUUUUCAAGUGAAGCCUUCCAGUAAGAGUAGAAGAUACUCUUUACUGGGACAUCAGCCAGAAAAAGUCGUGAGUCGAGGAAGCUUCAUGACUGUCUCCUCUACUUAAGGUUGCUACGUCGCCCUUUCCAUCCUGGAAUUAGAAGUUAUUCGUAAUUCUCCUAACGAUUGUUUGUCAACCAUAAAGAAUUGGUGAAUUUAGUGGUACUUAUCACGAACAUGUGGAACGUUCUAUCUAAUCUCAUCAGUUCAUGCAUGGCCAUACUCUGUAUAGACAAAAUGACUGAUGUUUCAAUACCAGAGUUUGGGGUUCAUACCUCCAACGAAAAAUAAAGACGAACAUUUCAAAGCAAAGAAACCGUGAACAAGGAAGAACAGUGCAUGCAUUACGCUCAUGAGAGUGGUGUUUGUGGAAGUUCCCGUCAAACAGAUUAAUAAGCCCGUUUACCGAAGUAGAUUUUCGUUAGACGGUCUCACAACAACGGCCGAACAAACAAUGAACCCGAUAAAUAGUUAAAUAGCCGUUUCCACACACUGCUCUCCAUACACAAUUUCGUCCGACUUUAUAUAUACCUUUUAUAUAGGCCAUUAUAAAUUAUCUAAGAAUUUUCGAGGAGUCACAACCCCAAUGUCACGAAAGUAACUUCAUUUGUAAUUUUCAAUCUAAGACGGUCGUUCUUAAUAGCAAGAACUGAAUCAAUCGUUACGCCAACUAGAAAAUAUGGGAGCGUAUCUUAUUGCGGCCAAUCGGUAUUUACAUGCUUCUGGAAUGAUUCAACAAGAACAAACUUGUGGAUUACAGUCGUUUCUUGCAUAUCAUGCAUGGUGGCUUCGGUGUCGGAUUGGUUCCUCGGCUAUAGUCACCAAACGCUAUUUCGAGCCGCCAUGGUUGUGUAUAUCGCUACAGUCCUCGCCAUCAAAAUGCUCCACACUGUUGCUGUGCUUACGGCCCUUGUUUCGAAAGUCGCUGUGGCAGUUACCUGCUGGACUGACUGUGGAUUAAUGCCUGAAUAUGGACCUGGUUAGGACCACUUUGGUUACGGCGAAUUAUAGCAGAACGACAGGAGAGAGCUGUGCCUCAUAUUUCUGCAAUAUCCCUCUAAUCAAAAUAAUUAGUUAAUUCAUUACGAUCGGAAGAAUCGAAACUUCGAGCAGUGCAAUUGGAGGCAGCAUUUCACAAUAAGUGUCCAAGUAAUAUAUAUAUAUAUAAUAUUUAUACAACAUAGAAUAUUACUCACAGUUUCUGCCGGUGAAUCUUGAAUACUGAUCUGAGCUUCUUAUACGAAAUUUAAGACGAUUAGGAUAUUUAGAAAGGGAGAUAUUUUCUCGGAUUUCAGAAAGUACCCCACGAUAUGGGACUGUAGGAAUUCGUUGCAUCAGGGAUUUAUUGUGGAUACAUACUGAAUCUGUCGUUUUAUUUACUAGAUGGUUCGAUAUCUGUCCUGGUAACAAGAAAUCAUUUUACUACACCGAUAAUUUUUGAAAUAUGAAAAUCGUACUCGGCCG